Chroicocephalus ridibundus (black-headed gull) is the source of this 1107-nucleotide long non-coding RNA. RefSeq lists it as uncharacterized. The transcript is spliced from 3 exons. NCBI's taxonomy places the organism in Eukaryota, Metazoa, Chordata, Aves, Charadriiformes, Laridae. The record is from RefSeq and is a predicted model, not a curated record.
AGUUGACCGCAGAAUUUAUUUCGUCAGUGAUCAGUAGCUUUUUGGCCGGGGGAGAAAACCUUGGAUUUAGUGAAUUUGUCAGACUGGCUUUCAGAAAUGGAACAUGGAGGGAUUUGGGAGGAGGGCUUGUGCCUGAUUGCUAUCUCAUUUCCAUCUUUGGACACAGCUCUAGCAUAAAGCUAAGCAACAUCUGUAAAGAUUUGGCUGGCAAACCUCUCUCUGGGACUCAUCGUUGCAUCCUGCAGCAGGUGCAGUCAGCUUUGCAGUCCAUCUUAAAAGAGGGCCUGUCAUCUCAGCAUUGACAGGAUCAGAUGAAAAAUACAAUCGAUGUGUUGACAUUUUUUUGAGAAUCACUCAGGAGCACAGUGGAGCUGAGCUGAUCCUGCCAACUUCCUCUACGUUUUCUGGGACCAUGAAAGAACUGGCAACCCUACCUUUUAACACUGACUUAUUUUUAGCUCAUUUCUGUAAACUAUUCAUCAAAUCCCAAGAUCAGAGAAUCAUUUGUCAUAAUUUGUAAGACACUUUUAAGAAGGAGCUAAAAUGAUUAGAAUUUCAGGCACUGGCUAUUGUACUUGCAUCAGUUUCACAAACAUUUUUAAUAUUUGAAUACUAGCAGGGGAGCAUAAAGACUCAAGAUUGAAAAAUCAGUUAUCUAACACAUCCCCCUUUCAAACAAAUUGUUCACUUAAGGAAACUAAUGUAUUUUUCUGUACAAAUAAUGGCCUGAAAUUGUAAAUAAAUAUUGAAGUUAUUUUAUAUUUUAUGUAUUUGGUGUUAAUUUUAUUUAAAUACUUGCCACAGAUAAGUGCCAUUUAACAUAUCUUAACAUUUGUGUGAUUUAGGUCACCUUGUUUUGUAAGGUGCAUGCAAUUAAAUUUUUCACACCUUUUAUUUGACAUUUUUGUUUUCACUAAGAUUAACUCUGAUUUUGCACAACUGCAUUUAUAACCCAUUGUUGUUUGACUAAUGAGAACCUUUCAUGUGCUUUUAGUAGGAGUUAGAUUAUUAUGCUUAUGGCACUGCAUUAUUGUUCUCUUGAACUAAGUACGGACUGCAACAUCAAUAAAGCCAUGGCUGCUUUAACAUUGGUGGUUUGGAAUUUUA